This 338-nucleotide long non-coding RNA is filed under the name Equus caballus (horse). RNAcentral describes it as "lncRNA (ENSECAG00000049986.1)". The record is from RNAcentral. Lineage: Eukaryota; Metazoa; Chordata; Mammalia; Perissodactyla; Equidae.
GGGCGAGCUGGGGCACGGGGACCGCUCUGACCCAGGGACGUGUCUGCCUCUGGGACGUAGACAGGUGCACGAGCGCCGUAAGGGAUGUCCAGGUGCCCAGGCCGAAUGGUGCACCCCUGGACGUGCACAGGUGCAGGCCCUACUGCUCAUCCUGGAGAUUUUCCCAGCCUGCCUAGCCACUUUGGAGCCCCUGAUGGAUGACCGGCAGAGCCCUCUGAAGGGUGGCUCAGAGAAGUUAGGAGACCUACUGAAGACCCGUGGGGCUGAGAUGCAAGCUCAGGAUGAGAUCUGGAGCAGCAGUCCCACCUUCUCGGAAAGCUACCCCCAGCCAGUUCCGU